AACCAGCACCUCAAGUGGUCAGGAUGAUUAUUGGGCCUAAAGCAUCCGUAGCCGGCUCUGUAAGUUUUCGGUUAAAUCUGUUCGCUCAACGUACAGGCUGCCGGGAAUACUGCAGAGCUAGGGAGUGGGAGAGGUAGACGGUACUCGGUAGGAAGGGGUAAAAUCCUUUGAUCUAUUGAUGACCACCUGUGGCGAAAGCGGCUCACUGGGUCUUUUCUGACGCUGAGGCACGAAAGCUAGGGUAGCGAACGGG
This 253-nucleotide ribosomal RNA is filed under the name uncultured archaeon. RNAcentral's name for it is "partial 16S ribosomal RNA". It matches the Rfam family "Archaeal small subunit ribosomal RNA", at positions 474 to 727 of the family's 1478-position model. The record is from RNAcentral.